AGCAGUAGCCACGGUAAUACGGAGGGUGCAAGCGUUAUCCGGAUUUAUUGGGUUUAAAGGGUCCGUAGGCGGAUCUGUAAGUCAGUGGUGAAAUCUCACAGCUUAACUGUGAAACUGCCAUUGAUACUGCAGGUCUUGAGUAAAUUUGAAGUGUCUGGAAUAAGUAGUGUAGCGGUGAAAUGCAUAGAUAUUACUUAGAACACCAAUUGCGAAGGCAGGUCACUAAGAUUUAACUGACGCUGAUGGACGAAAGCGUGGGGAGCGAACAGGAUUAGAUACCCCGGUAGUCCCUGUCUCUUAUAA
Molecule: ribosomal RNA, 303 nt
Filed under: uncultured bacterium
Lineage: Bacteria
Description: partial 16S ribosomal RNA
Rfam family: Bacterial small subunit ribosomal RNA
Source: RNAcentral